CAAACAGAGCGAUUAGGAGUGCUUAAACCGGUUUUACUGCUUUAAAUUAUGUUUCUACUGAAACAAUCCUAUUUUUACAGAUAAAAACAGCACUUUUUAAUAUAAUUCGACAUUAUUUGGAACGAAGCUAAUACUAAUUUUCUAGACUUUUUUAGAUUGUAUAAAUUUUGAUAUUUUAUAGUUUAAAUGGCGGUGGAGGCGGAAGAGGUUUUGCCGCCUCCAACGCAGCCGCCUUCGCCUCCGAGACGUCUCUUUAAUUAGGAGGCGGCGGCGGCAGCCACUCGGGCAUCGUCGGCCACGGAGGCCCUGGAGGAGUGGCCGUCCCUCCCCACGAGUGAUAAAAUAAUUCAUGAUCCAUAUAUGUAUUAAUAGCUCUAAGUGCAAAGUGACCUUUUAUUUUUUAUAUUUAGAUAUUUAUGCUCACUGAUUGGUUGAAAACAAUCAACAUUGCAUGUAAGCAAAUGCAGUCGCCCGCAAGGUUAUCAAGUUUGCCCCUGUGUUAUACAAUAUAAAAGGCUCGGUGGUUCUCACCACCGGCAAUAAUCGCACCAUGGACACCGUCAGGAUUUCUCUGCUCUUUGCUCUGCUCUUCGCCGUAGUAGCCGUCAACGCAAGUACGACCGGCCAAGGUGGCACCAGUAGACUCUCGACCGGC
Molecule: long non-coding RNA, 655 nt
Organism: Cloeon dipterum
Lineage: Eukaryota; Metazoa; Arthropoda; Insecta; Ephemeroptera; Baetidae
Exons: 2
Source: RefSeq, a predicted model, not a curated record